AUGCCAUCGACCCUGGUAUCCUAUUGCAGCACCUUCGGGGGUUGGGAGUGGGAGGCACCAUGUUAUGGUAGUUCUCCUCCUACCUCUCGGGGCGCACACAAUCGGUGUUGGCAGGGGGGGCAGAGAUCGGCCCCGAGGCUCCUCACUUGUGGGAUGCCUCAGAGGUUGGUUCUUUCUCCCCUCCUGUCCAACAUCUAUAUGAAGCCACUGGGUGAGAUCAUCGGCGGUUUCGAGGUGAGGUAUCAUCAAUAUGCUGAUGAUACCCAGCUUUUCGUCUCCACCCCGGACCAUCUCAGUGAUGUACUCCCCAUGAUGUCCUGGUGCCUGGAGGUGGUACGGAUCUGGAUGGGGAGGAACAGGCUCCAGCUCAACCCAGACAAGACUGAGUGGCUGUGCUUACCGGCAUCUCAGGUUCAAGAAAUUCCACCUUUGACCAUGGGGGGAGAGGUGCUGUCCCCCGUGGAUAGGGUGCACAACUUGGGUGUCCUCCUGGACAUAUGGCUCACUGUGGAGGAGCAGGUGGGAGCCAUCACCAGGGGGGCAUUUGCCCAGGUUCGCCUGGUGUGCCAGUUGCGCCCCUACAUGGAACGAGAUGCCCUACACACGGUCACCCAUGCGCUCGUUGCUUCCCGUCUUGACUUCUGCAAUGCUCUCUAUUUAGGGCUGCCCUUGCAGACUAUAUGGAGGUUUCGGCUGGUGCAGAAUGAAGCCGCGUGGGUUGUGAUGGGAGCGGCCCGAUUCUCCCAUGUGACACCCCUCCUGCACAAUCUGGAUUGGUUGCCGGUUGCCCUCCAUAUAAGAUUCAAGGUGCUGGUAUUAACCUAUAAAGCCCUUCAUGGCUUGGGUCCAGGGUAUUUGCAGGAGUGCCUCCUACCAGCAUCGAGGUCCAAUCGCCCACUGCGCUCCCACAGGCAGGCCCUCCUGAGGGUGCCAUUGACCAGACAAUGUUGGUUGGUGGUCCCCCGGGGGAGGGCCUUCUCUGUGGGAGCACCCACCCUGUGGACACAGCCGCCCCUGGGGCUGUGGUUGGCUCCUGACCUUCGUUCCUUCCGCUGCGAUCUAAAGACCUGGCUAUUUUUACAGGCUGGCCUGGAUUGA
RNAcentral lists this long non-coding RNA (1098 nucleotides) under Naja naja (Indian cobra). RNAcentral describes it as "lncRNA (ENSNNAG00000015360.1)". Lineage: Eukaryota; Metazoa; Chordata; Lepidosauria; Squamata; Elapidae. The record is from RNAcentral.